UAUGUAGGUGGCAAGCGUUGUCCGGAUUUACUGGGCGUAAAGGAUGCGUAGGCGGACAUUUAAGUCAGAUGUGAAAUACCCGAGCUUAACUUGGGUGCUGCAUUUGAAACUGGGUGUCUAGAGUGCAGGAGAGGUAAGUGGAAUUCCUAGUGUAGCGGUGAAAUGCGUAGAGAUUAGGAAGAACACCAGUGGCGAAGGCGACUUACUGGACUGUAACUGACGCUGAGGCAUGAAAGCGUGGGGAGCAAACAGG
This 253-nucleotide ribosomal RNA is filed under the name uncultured bacterium. RNAcentral describes it as "partial 16S ribosomal RNA". It matches the Rfam family "Bacterial small subunit ribosomal RNA", at positions 524 to 776 of the family's 1533-position model. The record is from RNAcentral.